UACGAAGGGGGCUAGCGUUGCUCGGAAUUACUGGGCGUAAAGGGCGCGUAGGCGGACAGGUUAGUCAGAGGUGAAAGCCCAGGGCUCAACCUUGGAAUUGCCUUUGAUACUGGCUGUCUUGAGUUCGGGAGAGGUGAGUGGAAUGCCGAGUGUAGAGGUGAAAUUCGUAGAUAUUCGGCGGAACACCAGUGGCUAAGGCGACUCACUGGCCCGAUACUGACGCUGAGGCGCGAAAGCGUGGGGAGCAAACAGG
RNAcentral lists this ribosomal RNA (253 nucleotides) under uncultured bacterium. Its description in RNAcentral is "partial 16S ribosomal RNA". It matches the Rfam family "Bacterial small subunit ribosomal RNA", at positions 524 to 776 of the family's 1533-position model. The record is from RNAcentral.